GAUGAACGCUGGCGGCGUGCCUAAUACAUGCCAGUCGAGCGAACGGACGAGAAGCUUGCUUCUCUGAUGUUAGCGGCGGACGGGUGAGUAACACGUGGAUAACCUACCUAUAAGACUGGGAUAACUUCGGGAAACCGUAGCUAAUACCGGAUAAUAUUUUGAACCGCAUGGUUCAAAAGUGAAAGACGGUCUUGCUGUCACUUAUAGAUGGAUCCGCGCUGCAUUAGCUAGUUGGUAAGGUAACGGCUUACCAAGGAAACGAUGCAUAGCCGACCUGAGAGGGUGAUCGGCCACACUGGAACUGAGACACGGUCCAGACUCCUACGGGAGGCAGCAGUAGGGAAUCUUCCGCAAUGGGCGAAAGCCUGACGGAGCAACGCCGCGUGAGUGAUGAAGGUCUUCGGAUCGUAAAACUCUGUUAUUAGGGAAGAACAUAUGUGUAAGUAACUGUGCACAUCUUGACGGUACCUAAUCAGAAAGCCACGGCUAACUACGUG
RNAcentral lists this ribosomal RNA (497 nucleotides) under uncultured bacterium. Its description in RNAcentral is "partial 16S ribosomal RNA". It matches the Rfam family "Bacterial small subunit ribosomal RNA", at positions 28 to 507 of the family's 1533-position model. The record is from RNAcentral.